This 82-nucleotide non-coding RNA is filed under the name unclassified sequences. Its description in RNAcentral is "freshwater-2 RNA". It matches the Rfam family "freshwater-2 RNA". From Rfam's summary of the family: Aquatic, esp. fresh water. No recognized genes The record is from RNAcentral.
CAACGCAAUAUGUGCGUUUUAUGCGGAUACCAUCCGCGUAGUGGCUAAACCCACAUCGGACUUCUAUAAGAGAAACAACAUG